UACGUAGGGUGCGAGCGUUGUCCGGAAUUAUUGGGCGUAAAGAGCUCGUAGGCGGUUUGGCAAGUCGGGUGUGAAAACUCCGGGCUCAACUCGGAGACGCCACUCGAUACUGCUAUGACUCGAGUCCGGUAGGGGAGUGCGGAAUUCCUGGUGUAGCGGUGAAAUGCGCAGAUAUCAGGAGGAACACCGGUGGCGAAGGCGGCACUCUGGGCCGGUACUGACGCUGAGGAGCGAAAGCGUGGGGAGCGAACAGG
This 254-nucleotide ribosomal RNA is filed under the name uncultured bacterium. Its description in RNAcentral is "partial 16S ribosomal RNA". It matches the Rfam family "Bacterial small subunit ribosomal RNA", at positions 524 to 776 of the family's 1533-position model. The record is from RNAcentral.